Non-coding RNA from Pelobates cultripes (western spadefoot toad), 305 nucleotides. NCBI's taxonomy places the organism in Eukaryota, Metazoa, Chordata, Amphibia, Anura, Pelobatidae. The record is from the annotation of a GenBank genome assembly.
AUUGUCCGUUCUCAGUACUCUCUUGAAUCUUGAUUUAUUUUUUUAUUCUUCCUUUCUGAGAUGUUGACUGAUGCACAUGCACAGUAGCCCUUUGAAUUCAUUGGAUUGGCAGAGAACAUUGUAACUGAUUAUUUAAGCCAAGGGAGAGCAACACUCCAUGUGAUAUAAGUUGGUAAAACUAUUUAAGUCUCAAAGGGGAUUAUACAACCCAGUGGUUACCAUCCGAGUCCUCGUGGCCCAGCAACAAUAUUGGCCACACUUCUAUUUAGCUAAAGUUAUUUUGGUGCUUAGAGUAUUGCUUUAAG